This 253-nucleotide ribosomal RNA is filed under the name uncultured bacterium. Its description in RNAcentral is "partial 16S ribosomal RNA". It matches the Rfam family "Bacterial small subunit ribosomal RNA", at positions 524 to 776 of the family's 1533-position model. The record is from RNAcentral.
UACGGAGGGAGCAAGCGUUACUCGGAAUUACUGGGCGUAAAGCGCGCGUAGGCGGCAGCGUGUGUCGGGCGUGAAAUCCCACGGCUCAACCGUGGAAGUGCACUCGAAACUGCGCAGCUGGAGUCUCGGAGAGGAAGGCGGAAUGCUUGGUGUAGAGGUGAAAUUCGUAGAUAUCAAGCGGAACACCGGUGGCGAAGGCGGCCUUCUGGACGAUGACUGACGCUGAAGCGCGAAAGCGUGGGGAGCAAACAGG